GCUUAGUUUGCUACCAAAGUAAGCAAUUAGUUGAGCAGUGUCAAUUUUCUUUGGCUACAAACCAAAUAAAUGACUAAUAUUUUUGCACUGUCAAAUUUACUUUAGCUAGAUUGAAUUUGGCUACAAACUUAAACAGACCCGAGAACUCAAACUUUCAAGGAAUUUUUGCACUGCAUGAUGUAUCAAUUUUCCCGUCAUUCGAUUUUUAUAUACAACCUAAUUCUAAAGCACAAUAUAAAAUCUACAGCUGUACAAUCGCUGAUACCAUGCAAACCGUGUCACAUCAGCAUUUCGUCAACCAGGCAGCAACAGCAAAGCGCCAUGAAGCUGCAUGAUCACGUAAGAAAAAUGUCAUGAGGAUAAAAAUUCUACACGAAAUUCAUAGCCCCAAGAAAACGAAUUUCUAGCAUCUUACAAUCCUGCGAUGAAUCCACAUUUGGGCUGAGGAUGCUCCGGCGGCGCGGGCUCGUCGUACGCCGCCGACGGCGGCGCCAUUGGCCCUAAAAAAUUGCAAACCACAAAAUUAAGGCGAUCGAUUGAACGAAAUUUUGCCAAAGCACACGCUAAUUAAUCAGCCAAAUGGCAUUCAAAAAAAAGAAGGCAUUCAAAAAAAAAUUAAUCAGCCAAAUCCUCUUUUUGCCAAAGGCGGAAUGCAAUUUAAUAGACGUUUGCCGAAACAGCAUAUAUCUGAGAUUUGUAGAAUUACUAAUUAAUUACCUGGUGCUCCAUCGUGAUGCAAGCUGCUCGCCCGGUGCUGCAUAUCGCCGUUUGCUUUGCGACGAAGCGACGGAUCAAACGAAACGAGAGAGAGAGAGAGAGAACACAAACACAACACAACAGAGAUGCUUUCUUUCUGAACGAAGAGAGAAUCUAUUUGUUCAGAGCAAGGAGGCCCAAGAAAAGGUUAAUCAUGCUGUGUGCUGUUGCGAUGAACAGGCCACGCAGGAGAGAACACAGCUGGUUUAAGGUUAGGAAGCCUGCACAACGACAACGUAGAGGCAGGCAGGCAGGGUAUCCAUCUCUUUUCCCCCCCGGCCGU
RNAcentral lists this long non-coding RNA (1039 nucleotides) under Oryza sativa (Asian cultivated rice). RNAcentral's name for it is "long non-coding RNA (OSAT_LNC001395)". The record is from RNAcentral. Lineage: Eukaryota; Viridiplantae; Streptophyta; Magnoliopsida; Poales; Poaceae.